CCCAGGCUAGAGUGCAGAGGCACCAUCUCGGCUCACUGCACCCUCACCUCCCAGGUUCAAGCGAUUCUCCUGCCUCAGCCUCCCAAGUAGCUGGGAUUACAGGUGCAUGCCACAACACCUGGCUAAUUUUUGCCUUUUUAGUAGAGACGAGGUUUCACCAUGUUGCCCAGGCUGGUCUGGAACUCCAGACCUCAUGAUCCGCCCACCUCAGCCUCCCAAAGUGCUGGAAUUACAGGCGUGACCCACUGUGCCCAGCCCAGUGUUCUAUUUUUAUGAUGACCAAAAAACCUAAGUCAAAAGGUAUUUGUUGACUCAUACAUUCCAAGUGUCCAUGGCUUCAGGCUUGGCUGGUUCCAGGGUUUCAAUGAACUCAGGAUUUAAUCGCAGCAGAAAAGUGACAGAGAGGGAAUAUUAUUGGCCACAGUGAGGUCACAUGCCUAGCCCUGGACCAAUCACUGUGCCCAAGGGGAUGGAAUAUGGUAAUUGCCCAGGACUGAAUUACAUGUGCAACCUUGGGGCUGGCAGAGAGGUCAGCCCCAUCUACAUCACAUAGCCUGACAGUGAGGGAGGGCAGCCCUCCCAAAAUGCAAGACCUACACUUUGAUCCUACAGCUCAGUAAACCCCAAUUUUGUUGUUGUUGGGUUUGUUUUUUAGUUUUCUUUUUAGGCAAGAUCUCGCUCAGUCGCCCAGGCUGGAGUGCAAUGGUGCGAUCUCAGCUCGCUGCAACCUCUGCCUCCUGAAUUCAAGCGAUUCUCCUGCCUCAGCCACUUGAGUAACUGGAACUACAGGCACCCAAAACCACGCCCAGCUAAUUUUUGUAUUUUUAGUAGAGACAGGGUUUUGCCAUGUUGGCCAGGCUGGUCUCCUAACCUCAAGUGAUUCGCCUGCCUUGGCCUCCCAAAGUGUUGGGAUCACAGGCAUGAGCCACUGUGCCCAGCCUGGGGUUUUUCUUUAAAAAAAAAAAACAAGGUCUCACUCCGUCUCCCAAGCUGGAAUGCAGCAAUGCAAUUAUAGUUCACUGCAGCUUCAACCUAGACUCAAGCGAUCCUCCUGCCCGUGUCCCAAGUGGCUGGGAUGACGGGCAUGCAGCACCACGCCCAGCUGCGGAAUUCUCUUCCAGCGUGUCGGGAUCUCGUCAUUAUGCUUCCCUGGCUGAGAGGAGGAAACCUCGCCAUUAUCAGUGCAGGCUUCCGGCUAGAUGGGGUUUUGCCAUCCUGCCCGGGCUAGUCUGGAACUUCUGGGCUCAAGUGACCUGUCUGCCUCAGCCUCCCAGUGCUGGGAUUACAGGAGCUCGUGCAAGAACAGCUAAGACCAUUCAGUGGUUGCUGCUACCCAUUCACUGGCCUGAGCAGUGGGAGCUGCAGACCGGUCUUCCGUGGCAGCCUGAGCACUCCAGUCUUCAGUAG
This 1407-nucleotide long non-coding RNA is filed under the name Callithrix jacchus (white-tufted-ear marmoset). Its description in RNAcentral is "lncRNA (ENSCJAG00000084006.1)". The record is from RNAcentral. Lineage: Eukaryota; Metazoa; Chordata; Mammalia; Primates; Cebidae.